This 529-nucleotide ribosomal RNA is filed under the name Synechococcus sp. NR6(2012). RNAcentral describes it as "bacterial SSU rRNA". It matches the Rfam family "Bacterial small subunit ribosomal RNA", at positions 219 to 767 of the family's 1533-position model. Lineage: Bacteria; Bacillati; Cyanobacteriota; Cyanophyceae; Synechococcales; Synechococcaceae. The record is from RNAcentral.
CAAGAGAUGGGCUUGCGGCUGAUUAGCUAGUUGGUGGGGUAAAAGCUUACCAAGGCGAUGAUCAGUAGCUGGUCUGAGAGGAUGAUCAGCCACACUGGGACUGAGACACGGCCCAGACUCCUACGGGAGGCAGCAGUGAGGAAUUUUCCGCAAUGGGCGAAAGCCUGACGGAGCAAUGCCGCGUGAAGGAUGACGGCCUAUGGGUUGUAAACUUCUUUUCUCAGAGAAGAAUUUUUGACGGUAUCUGAGGAAUAAGCAUCGGCUAACUCUGUGCCAGCAGCCGCGGUAAGACAGAGGAUGCAAGCGUUAUCCGGAAUGAUUGGGCGUAAAGCGUCUGUAGGUGGCUUAAAAAGUCUCCUGUCAAAGAUCAGGGCUUAACCCUGGGCCGGCAGGAGAAACUCUUAGGCUAGAGUUUGGUAGGGGCAGAGGGAAUUCCCGGUGGAGCGGUGAAAUGCGUAGAGAUCGGGAGGAACACCAAAGGCGAAGGCACUCUGCUGGGCCAGAAGUAAUCGACACGAUCGAUUUGGCG